Molecule: transfer RNA, 73 nt
Organism: Camelus ferus (Wild Bactrian camel)
Lineage: Eukaryota; Metazoa; Chordata; Mammalia; Artiodactyla; Camelidae
Rfam family: tRNA
About the family: Transfer RNA (tRNA) molecules are approximately 80 nucleotides in length. Their secondary structure includes four short double-helical elements and three loops (D, anti-codon, and T loops).
Source: Rfam
GAGGGUAUAGCUCAAGUGGUAAAGCACAUGCUUAGCAUGCAUGAGGACCUGGGUUCAAUCCCCAGUACCUCCU